This 558-nucleotide long non-coding RNA is filed under the name Parus major (Great Tit). RNAcentral describes it as "lncRNA (ENSPMJG00000009321.1)". The record is from RNAcentral. Lineage: Eukaryota; Metazoa; Chordata; Aves; Passeriformes; Paridae.
CUUUUUGUCAUGUAGGAGUACCUGGCAACUUUGCAAAGGACAACAAAUGAUUCCUUCCUAAUGUGAGAGCAGCAGGAGCCAGGCAUGCUGGUGGAAGGCAAAGAAGACUCAGGUCAGCCAAGGGAUUGAGAGCAGCUUUGAUUCCUCAUCUCCUGGUGAAAGAACUGAAGGUGAAGUGAGUUCCCUGAUGGGAGCUCCCAAGGCAAAAGGAGCGGGAACUGGGAAAGAGGGGACAUAACUACCUUCUCUCCGUGAUCAGUGGUUUUCACCAAUAAUUUAAUCUAUUUUUGUCUUUGAUUUUUUUUUUUUGGGGGGGGGGAAUUGUUUUUUGAUAUGCUUGGUUUGGUUUGGUUUGGUUUGGUUUGAACCAGAGAGAACCUCCUGUUUCAAGCUUGGAAUGCUUUAUGCAAUGCAAGUCAAAAUAUUUAAUUUUGAAGUGAGAAAAAAGUAACUACUAGUCAUUCCCUGUACUUAAUUCGUCCCACUUCUUGAUUUGCUUGGGAUUAAUGGCAGAAACUUAAAGUCAGUGCUUGUCAAGAGUGUCACCUUGCUUCCACA